GGAUUAGAUACCCUGGUAGUCCACACUGUAAACGAUGAUCACUCGUUGUUUGCGAUAUACCGCAAGUGACCAAGAGAAAUCGAUAAGUGAUCCACCUGGGGAGUACGUUCGCAAGAAUGAAACUCAAAGGAAUUGACGGGGGCCCGCACAAGCGGAGGAACAUGUGGUUUAAUUCGAUGAUACGCGAGGAACCUUACCUGGGUUUAAAUGGGGAGUGACAGGCUUGGAAACAGGCCCUUCUUCGGACACUCUUCAAGGUGCUGCAUGGUUGUCGUCAGCUCGUGCCGUGAGGUGUCGGGUUAAGUCCCAUAACGAGCGCAACCCACGUCGUUAGUUACCAUCAGGUCAUGCUGGGCACUCUAACGAGACUGCCGGUGUAAACCGCGAGGAAGGUGUGGAUGACGUCAAAUCAGCACGGCCCUUACAUCCAGGGCUACACACGUGUUACAAUGGACGG
RNAcentral lists this ribosomal RNA (457 nucleotides) under uncultured bacterium. RNAcentral describes it as "bacterial SSU rRNA". It matches the Rfam family "Bacterial small subunit ribosomal RNA", at positions 775 to 1237 of the family's 1533-position model. The record is from RNAcentral.